This 694-nucleotide ribosomal RNA is filed under the name uncultured crenarchaeote. RNAcentral describes it as "bacterial SSU rRNA". It matches the Rfam family "Archaeal small subunit ribosomal RNA", at positions 719 to 1412 of the family's 1478-position model. Lineage: Archaea; Thermoproteati; Thermoproteota. The record is from RNAcentral.
GCAAACCGGAUUAGAUACCCGGGUAGUCCCAGCUGUAAACUAUGCAAACUCGGUGAUGCAUUGGCUUGUGGCCAGUGCAGUGCCGCAGGGAAGCCGUUAAGUUUGCCGCCUGGGAAGUACGUACGCAAGUAUGAAACUUAAAGGAAUUGGCGGGGGAGCACCACAAGGGGUGAAGCCUGCGGUUCAAUUGGAGUCAACGCCAGAAAUCUUACCCGGAGAGACAGCAGAAUGAAGGUCAAGCUGAAGACUUUACCAGACAAGCUGAGAAGUGGUGCAUGGCCGUCGCCAGCUCGUGCCGUGAGAUGUCCUGUUAAGUCAGGUAACGAGCGAGAUCCCUGCCUCUAGUUGCCACCAUUAUUCUCAGGAAUAGUGGGGCGAAUUAGCGGGACCGCCGCAGUUAAUGCGGAGGAAGGAAGGGGCCACGGCAGGUCAGUAUGCCCCGAAACUCUGGGGCCACACGCGGGCUGCAAUGGUAACAACAAUGGGUUUCGAAUCCGAAAGGAUGAGGUAAUCCUCAAACGUUACCACAGUUAUGACUGAGGGCUGCAACUCGCCCUCACGAAUAUGGAAUCCCUAGUAACUGCGUGUCAUUAUCGCGCGGUGAAUACGUCCCUGCUCCUUGCACACACCGCCCGUCGUUUCAUUGAAGUGAGCUUUUAGCGAGGUGACGUCUAAUUGGCGUUAUCGAACUUGA